GUGGAUUAGUGGCGAACGGGUGAGUAACACGUGGGCAAUCUGCCCUUCACUCUGGGACAAGCCCUGGAAACGGGGUCUAAUACCGGAUACCACUCCUGCCUGCAUGGGCGGGGGUUGAAAGCUCCGGCGGUGAAGGAUGAGCCCGCGGCCUAUCAGCUUGUUGGUGGGGUAAUGGCCCACCAAGGCGACGACGGGUAGCCGGCCUGAGAGGGCGACCGGCCACACUGGGACUGAGACACGGCCCAGACUCCUACGGGAGGCAGCAGUGGGGAAUAUUGCACAAUGGGCGAAAGCCUGAUGCAGCGACGCCGCGUGAGGGAUGACGGCCUUCGGGUUGUAAACCUCUUUCAGCAGGGAAGAAGCGAAAGUGACGGUACCUGCAGAAGAAGCGCCGGCUAACUACGUGCCAGCAGCCGCGGUAAUACGUAGGGCGCAAGCGUUGUCCGGAAUUAUUGGGCGUAAAGAGCUCGUAGGCGGCUUGUCACGUCGGAUGUGAAAGCCCGAGGCUUAACCUCGGGUCUGCAUUCGAUACGGGCUAGCUAGAGUGUGGUAGGGGAGAUCGGAAUUCCUGGUGUAGCGGUGAAAUGCGCAGAUAUCAGGAGGAACACCGGUGGCGAAGGCGGAUCUCUGGGCCAUUACUGACGCUGAGGAGCGAAAGCGUGGGGAGCGAACAGGAUUAGAUACCCUGGUAGUCCACGCCGUAAACGUUGGGAACUAGGUGUUGGCGACAUUCCACGUCGUCGGUGCCG
This 749-nucleotide ribosomal RNA is filed under the name Streptomyces sp. RNAcentral's name for it is "bacterial SSU rRNA". It matches the Rfam family "Bacterial small subunit ribosomal RNA", at positions 87 to 848 of the family's 1533-position model. Lineage: Bacteria; Bacillati; Actinomycetota; Actinomycetes; Kitasatosporales; Streptomycetaceae. The record is from RNAcentral.